Molecule: ribosomal RNA, 432 nt
Filed under: uncultured bacterium
Lineage: Bacteria
Description: partial 16S ribosomal RNA
Rfam family: Bacterial small subunit ribosomal RNA
Source: RNAcentral
AACGAACGCUGGCGGCAUGCCUAACACAUGCAAGUCGAACGAGACCUUCGGGUCUAGUGGCGCACGGGUGCGUAACGCGUGGGAACCUGCCCUUAGGUUCGGAAUAACUCCCCGAAAGGGGUGCUAAUACCGGAUAAUGUCUUCGGACCAAAGAUUUAUCGCCUUUGGAUGGGCCCGCGUUGGAUUAGCUAGUUGGUAGGGUAAAAGCCUACCAAGGCGACGAUCCAUAGCUGGUCUGAGAGGAUGAUCAGCCACACUGGGACUGAGACACGGCCCAGACUCCUACGGGAGGCAGCAGUGGGGAAUAUUGGACAAUGGGCGAAAGCCUGAUCCAGCAAUGCCGCGUGAGUGAUGAAGGCCUUAGGGUUUAAAGCUCUUUUACCCGGGAUGAUAAUGACAGUACCGGGAGAAUAAGCUCCGGCUAACUCCGUG